GUCAAUAUGUCCGAGUAGUUUAAGGAGAUAGACUUGAAAUUUAUUGGGCUUUGCCUGCGCAGGUUCGAAGGAGAUAGACUUGAAAUUUAUUGGGCUUUGCCUGCGCAGGUUCGAAUGCUGCUGUUGACG
RNAcentral lists this transfer RNA (129 nucleotides) under Ipomoea nil (Japanese morning glory). It matches the Rfam family "tRNA". From Rfam's summary of the family: Transfer RNA (tRNA) molecules are approximately 80 nucleotides in length. Their secondary structure includes four short double-helical elements and three loops (D, anti-codon, and T loops). Lineage: Eukaryota; Viridiplantae; Streptophyta; Magnoliopsida; Solanales; Convolvulaceae. The record is from Rfam by way of RNAcentral.